Molecule: ribosomal RNA, 440 nt
Filed under: uncultured bacterium
Lineage: Bacteria
Description: partial 16S ribosomal RNA
Rfam family: Bacterial small subunit ribosomal RNA
Source: RNAcentral
CCUACGGGAGGCUGCAGUGGGGAAUAUUGCACAAUGGCGGAAACCCUGAUGCAGCGACGCCGCGUGAGUGAAGAAGUAAUUCGUUAUGGAAAGCUCUAUCAGCCGGGAAGAAAAUGACGGUACCUGAGUAAGAAGCCCCGGCUAACUACGUGCCAGCAGCCGCGGUAAUACGUAAGGGGCCAGCGUUAUCCGGAUUUACUGGGUGUAAAGGGAGCGUAGACGGCAGUGCAAGUCUGGAGUGAAAGGCGGGGGGUCAACCCCCGGACGGCUCUGGAAACUGUACGGCGGGAGUGGAGGAGAGGUAAGUGGAAUUCGUAGUGUAGCGGUGAAAUGCGUAGAUAGUAGGAAGAACACCAGUGGCGAAGGCGGAUUACUGGACUGUAACUGACGUUGAGGCUCGAAAGCGUGGGGAGCAAACAGGAUUAGAUACCCGUGUAGUC